Molecule: non-coding RNA, 264 nt
Organism: Pelobates cultripes (western spadefoot toad)
Lineage: Eukaryota; Metazoa; Chordata; Amphibia; Anura; Pelobatidae
Source: the annotation of a GenBank genome assembly
CUAGACUUUUUUAAAUUGCAGACAUACAUUACAUGGAUGUCUGAUUGCCCGCUAGCCAGAUCCGUUGGCUUUUAUGUGCGGUGCUACAGAAUUGCAAUGUAUAGAAAACAUUCAACUGAAUAUGUAAAAGUAAACUGGUUUGCACUUAAUCCUCCCCCCACCACACACAUUUAUUAUUAUUAUUGCCAUUUAUAUAGCACCAACAGAUUCCGUACCGCUUCUUUUUCAAACUAUGAUUGUAGAUAAAAUGACACAAAAAAAUUG